Molecule: long non-coding RNA, 1036 nt
Organism: Mytilus californianus (California mussel)
Lineage: Eukaryota; Metazoa; Mollusca; Bivalvia; Mytilida; Mytilidae
Exons: 2
Source: RefSeq, a predicted model, not a curated record
UUACCACUAUUCCAAGUUCCCCCUUCGGUACCUCGAAUGUAUAAGAUUGCACCCUCACUCUUAGUCUCAUCGUCGCUCGAUUGAAGGUCAUACGAUCGUGCAGACGCAUAAUGGAUCUCCUAAAAAUAAUUAAGUGAUAUCGAUCGGACAAGGAUCCUAAACUUCAAAAAUUUUACGGGAAGUCAGUAGAGAAGUCUUAUUGCAAGUACCCACUAAUAUAAAGUUGCAUUUAAAUGACAUUCUAGUGCUUCUUGAUAUAGACGACUCCAGAGAGAAUUUAUGCAAAGUUGUGAGUUUUGCAUUGGAGCAGAAAGACGAAUUGAAGGAAGAUACGGUUACACAGGAACUUCGUAAGAAGAAAGCUAAAACAUCAGAAAACAAAUCGUCAGGGAUGAAAACUUUAGAAGAUAAAAUAGCAGAUCUUGAGAAAAAGUUAGAGAAGAAGCAAGCUGAUGACGAAUUAUCUGAAUUUGAAAGGGUCAAGAGAGAUGUUAAAGAUAUGAGGCUGCCAAAGGAAAGUUGGAUAUUGAUGUCUUACAUGAAAAAUUAAUAUUGCUAGACAAUUUAGCGCGAAAGCAAAAUCAUGAUUUGAAGGAAAAAAAUAAAUUUGAUUUUAAGUAGAUUUCAUAUUCACAAAAAUAGACCGAAUUUUGCAGCAGCGUUAGUACUAAAACUUGUGUGCAACAAAGAAGAGGAAGCGGUGCUUGAUAAAGAACAGAAGUUACUCAAGACAUUUGGUUUACAUGCCAAAAAAUCCUCGCUAAAAAUUCCGGUCGACCUCCUACGGCACCCAUUAGUAGUUAAAGAUUUGAUUUCUUUCAACAAAUUAAUUUAUGACCUGCAUAUACGUGUCGCUUAGAACACAGCCAUAUACCAAAUGGUCAAUAUUAAUCACCCGUGUAAUUUGCUCUAUGGGAUGUUUGCAAAAUUUCAACGGAGGCAAUUUCUUGGCAUAGGAGAAAGGAAGAAAGACCAUUCACAAUUUGUUUAACAUUUUUUUCUCUCUUUUAAUUAAAUUAAAAAAACAAAAAAUAAA